Eptatretus burgeri (inshore hagfish) is the source of this 2094-nucleotide long non-coding RNA. NCBI's taxonomy places the organism in Eukaryota, Metazoa, Chordata, Myxini, Myxiniformes, Myxinidae. The record is from Ensembl.
AUGCCCUGCCUGCGAAACGCCAGUCUGGCAGUUUGUCGUCGGGUGGGGGUACGAACCCAGAUGAGACUGUUCAAAAAUGUGCUCGUUACCUCUGAGCUGCCCUGCCAGGCCGAGGGACCUUUCUCGGCAGAUUUUGGGCAAAACUUUAUCAGUGGUUCGGAUGGAAACAUUGGAUGCUUCAACAAUGGUAUGGCUGUGGCAGGAGGGUGGUCCACGUCUGCUCCAUUUCCAGCCUGGCUGCAGGGCCAAGGACUCAGCGAGGAUGCGGUCAGGGCCAUGAUAGCCGAUCUAGGCAUCAAGAGCCACGACGCUCUUCGUGCCUGUGCCGAACCGGCCCUAGUGAGAACCGAACUCUUUCUCGUGGCUCGGGAAAGGUUGCCCUUCGCCAUGUAUGUUGAGAUUCGCCGUUUUGUGGAAUCCCUGUGGGAACCGCCAUACCCUGAAUUAGGCCCCACGGAUUUGGUGAGUGGUCCUGGCAGCUCAGCGCUUCUAGCUGUGUUGUGCUCCAUGUUGAAUGGCAUGAUUCAGGAGCUUUCCAGUUGUGCCCAGAAGUUGAACUCUUUGUCCAACACUGGAAGGAGCAAUGCAAGAUUAAGCGACACCACUGAAGACUCCAACCAUGCCAUCGGGGGCUUUCAAGAAUUGUGCCAUCAAAACGAUGCUUUGGAAACGGAGCCUGUGUUAAUGGACAACUUGAAGAAUGAGCCGAGAGACUGGGAGCAAGAAACUGCAGAAGCAAAGUUAGAGGUGGAAGCAGAAGAUCAAGGAAACAGUGGCACAAGUUUGAUCACAUUUGUUGACGAUACAAUUCAAAGCUCUAAACGCCAUUCAAGAUCUGAGACUACCAAUGAGCAAUCAAGUGAUCUCCAAGGUUCAACGAGAGGUAAGCUAUCUCCAUCUUAAGAAGUAAAAUAAAAUAACGUAAAGAUUGUUGAAGACAUUUUAGUUUGAGAAAUUUAUUUAUUUAUUUUUGAGAUGCGAGUUAGGUGGUAUUCAUGAUUGGUCAUUGUUUACCAAUCACUGGUGCUAGUUUAACAAGAACGAGAAAUGCUUUGCGACACACGGCCCCUACCAAUCCCAAAUAAAGAAGAAGAAGAAGAAGAAGAAGAAACCCAACACCCAACCAUGUUUGGGUCUAUUCGACAUAAUAAAAGGGAAAGCAAUUUUUAUUUACUGAUAUAUUUUGUAGACAACAAACAAAUUGACGACUAGGAUAACAAACUGGAGAUAAAAAUGAGUUUGCUUUAACACAUGCUCGAGCCGAUACCAGAACCAAAAUGAAGAAGAAGAACUGUUGUCAACCAUCAUGCUUCGUGAGUUUCUCGGCUUUGCUUAUAUAUUAAAAAUAAUUUUAUGUACUGUACAUACAUGAAGGAAAAGCAUGCAUACGGCUUAUGUGCAUAUAUAAUACAUCAUGGUUAUAUACCUGUUGUAAUUCCGAUGGCACUGGUCCAUGGACGAACACAAAGGCCAAAGGCCUGAGGCCUGCCAAUCUGUGCUGCUUCACGCAAUGGCGGCACGUGGUUUUAGUGGGGUGGAAUCAGGGCAGCUGAACACUGACCCAUGUAUAAUAUGUGAUAUUGUUAAAGUUUAAAAAGGGCAUAACUGAAAAAUUGACAAAACUCCCUGAAACUCGAACUUGUUCUUCAACUUGCAUAAUAAAGCCAUGUACCAAGUUUCAGUUGAAUAUGCUAAAGGGUAUGGAGAAAAGGCUGAAACACCACAGGUGGAUGGACAGACAGAGUAAACCUAUAGUCCCCUCUGGUAAAACUCGUAGGGGACUACCGCAUUUUCUGGUGUAUAAACUGCGGCUGUGUAUUAACCACACCCCUGUUUUUCACCCCCAUUUUUUUUUUUGAAAAAAAAACAAACACUUUUCUUGUGUAUUAACCGCACCCAUGUUUUUCACCCUCAAAAUAAAUGAAUAUAUUGAUCAUUUUAUUUUCUAAUCAAAAUAAAAUAUGUUUGUACAUUAACUUUGUAUGGAGCAAAGUGACGGAGGUAUCAAUAUGCUUACUCCUAUGUCAACUUCAUUCAUACCGGUAUUGGGUGGUCGCUAGAGUACCCUUAUUGUCGGGUUUUGUGUGCCCCCCC